RNAcentral lists this ribosomal RNA (252 nucleotides) under uncultured bacterium. RNAcentral describes it as "partial 16S ribosomal RNA". It matches the Rfam family "Bacterial small subunit ribosomal RNA", at positions 524 to 776 of the family's 1533-position model. The record is from RNAcentral.
UACGGAGGAUGCGAGCGUUAUCCGGAUUUAUUGGGUUUAAAGGGUGCGUAGGCGGACUGUCAAGUCAGCGGUAAAAUACGGGGGCUCAACCUCCGCCCGCCGUUGAAACUGACGGUCUUGAGUGGGCGAGAAGUAUGCGGAAUGCGUGGUGUAGCGGUGAAAUGCAUAGAUAUCACGCAGAACUCCGAUUGCGGAGGCAGCAUACCGGCGCCCAACUGACGCUGAAGCACGAAAGCGUGGGUAUCGAACAGG